AGCGUAGGAGCUAUAAUGCAGUCGACGAGCUUCCGUUGAUGACGUGCUUGCACUGAUUUCAACAAUGAAGCGAGUGGCGAACUGGUGAGUAACACGUGGGAAAUCUGCCCAGAAGCAGGGGAUAACACUUGGAAACAGGUGCUAAUACCGUAUAACAACAAAAUCCGCAUGGAUUUUGUUUGAAAGGUGGCUUCGGCUAUCACUUCUGGAUGAUCCCGCGGCGUAUUAGUUAGUUGGUGAGGUAAAGGCCCACCAAGACGAUGAUACGUAGCCGACCUGAGAGGGUAAUCGGCCACAUUGGGACUGAGACACGGCCCAAACUCCUACGGGAGGCAGCAGUAGGGAAUCUUCCACAAUGGACGAAAGUCUGAUGGAGCAAUGCCGCGUGAGUGAAGAAGGGUUUCGGCUCGUAAAACUCUGUUGUUAAAGAAGAACACCUUUGAGAGUAACUGUUCAAGGGUUGACGGUAUUUAACCAGAAAGCCACGGCUAACUACGUGCCAGCAGCCGCGGUAAUACGUAGGUGGCAAGCGUUGUCCGGAUUUAUUGGGCGUAAAGCGAGCGCAGGCGGUUUUUUAAGUCUGAUGUGAAAGCCUUCGGCUUAACCGGAGAAGUGCAUCGGAAACUGGGAGACUUGAGUGCAGAAGAGGACAGUGGAACUCCAUGUGUAGCGGUGGAAUGCGUAGAUAUAUGGAAGAACACCAGUGGCGAAGGCGGCUGUCUAGUCUGUAACUGACGCUGAGGCUCGAAAGCAUGGGUAGCGAACAGGAUUAGAUACCCUGGUAGUCCAUGCCGUAAACGAUGAGUGCUAAGUGUUGGAGGGUUUCCGCCCUUCAGUGCUGCAGCUAACGCAUUAAGCACUCCGCCUGGGGGAGUACGACCGCAAGGGUUGAAACUCAAAGGAAAUUGACGGGGGCCCGCACAAGCGGUGGAGCAUGUGGGUUUAAAUUCGAAAGCUACGCGAAGAACCCUUACCAGGUCCUUGACAUCCUUCCUGCCCAAUCUUUAGAGAUAGACGUUUCCCUUCGGGGGACAGAAUGACAGGGUGGCUGCAUGGCUGGUCGGUUCAGCUUCGUUGUUCGUUGAGAUGUUGGGGAUCAGUUCCGCCAACUGAGCGCAAUCCAUGAAUUAAUCAGGUUGACCAGC
RNAcentral lists this ribosomal RNA (1145 nucleotides) under Levilactobacillus brevis. Its description in RNAcentral is "bacterial SSU rRNA". It matches the Rfam family "Bacterial small subunit ribosomal RNA", at positions 38 to 1127 of the family's 1533-position model. The record is from RNAcentral. Lineage: Bacteria; Bacillati; Bacillota; Bacilli; Lactobacillales; Lactobacillaceae.